RNAcentral lists this ribosomal RNA (239 nucleotides) under uncultured Lactobacillus sp. RNAcentral describes it as "partial 16S ribosomal RNA". It matches the Rfam family "Bacterial small subunit ribosomal RNA", at positions 123 to 355 of the family's 1533-position model. The record is from RNAcentral. Lineage: Bacteria; Bacillati; Bacillota; Bacilli; Lactobacillales; Lactobacillaceae.
AACCUGCCCAAGAGAUCGGGAUAACACCUGGAAACAGAUGCUAAUACCGGAUAACAACAGAUGAUGCCUAUCAACUGUUUAAAGGAUGGUUCUGCUAUCGCUCUUGGAUGGACCUGCGGUGCAUUAGCUAGUUGGUAGGGUAACGGCCUACCAAGGCGAUGAUGCAUAGCCGAGUUGAGAGACUGAUCGGCCACAUUGGGACUGAGACACGGCCCAAACUCCUACGGGAGGCAGCAGCC